CCCCUAGAUGUUCUGGGCCGCACGCGCGCUACACUGAACAGUUCAACAAGUCUUAACCUUGGCCGAUAGGUCUGGGUAAUCUUUGAACGCUGUUCGUGAUUGGGAUAGACCUUUGCAAUUAUGGGUCUUCAACGAGGAAUUCCUAGUAAACGCAAGUCACCAGCUUGCAUUGAUUACGUCCCUGCCCUUUGUACACACCGCCCGUCGCACCUACCGAUUGAAUGGUCCGGUGAAAUCUCGGGACGGCGGCUUGGUCGCUUGCGUCCGACUGCUGAAACUUGAUUAAACCAUAUCAUUUAGAGGAAGGUGAANUCGUAACA
Molecule: ribosomal RNA, 320 nt
Filed under: uncultured eukaryote
Lineage: Eukaryota
Description: partial 18S ribosomal RNA
Rfam family: Eukaryotic small subunit ribosomal RNA
Source: RNAcentral